Molecule: ribosomal RNA, 467 nt
Filed under: uncultured bacterium
Lineage: Bacteria
Description: partial 16S ribosomal RNA
Rfam family: Bacterial small subunit ribosomal RNA
Source: RNAcentral
GACGAACGCUGGCGGCGUGCUUAACACAUGCAAGUCGAACGGAAAGGCUCCAGCUUGCUGGGGUACUCGAGUGGCGAACGGGUGAGUAACACGUGGGUAAUCUGCCCUGCACUCUGGGAUAAGCCUGGGAAACUGGGUCUAAUACUGGAUAUGACCAUGCUCCUUAUGGGGUUUGGUGGAAAGUUUUUCGGUGUAGGAUGAGCCCGCGGCCUAUCAGCUUGUUGGUGGGGUGAUGGCCUACCAAGGCGACGACGGGUAGCCGGCCUGAGAGGGUGAUCGGCCACAUUGGGACUGAGAUACGGCCCAGACUCCUACGGGGGGCAGCAGUGGGGAAUAUUGCACAAUGGGCGGAAGCCUGAUGCAGCGACGCCGCGUGAGGGAAGACGGCCUUCGGGUUAUAAACCUCUUUCAGCAGGGACGAAGCGUAAGUGACGGUACCUGCAGAAGAAGCACCGGCUAACUACGUG